RNAcentral lists this unclassified non-coding RNA (290 nucleotides) under Hevea brasiliensis (rubber tree). The record is from RNAcentral. Lineage: Eukaryota; Viridiplantae; Streptophyta; Magnoliopsida; Malpighiales; Euphorbiaceae.
GGUACUGCUACUAAGGGGGCUGAAGGAACGAAGAUACGAGACCUUCAACAAGCUUAGAAUCUUCCAAGUUGUUAGUGUAGCAUUUCUUGCUGGAUUGUUAUGGUGGCACACUCCAACAUCCCACAUUGAAGACAGAAUUGCAAUGGUAUUCUUCUUCGCGGUAUUCUGGGGCUUCUAUCCACUCUACAAUGCAGUUUUCACUUUUCCCCAAGAAAGAAGGAUGCUCAUUAAAGAGCGAUCAUCAGGAAUGUACAGACUCUCAUCAUAUUUUCUAGCUAAAACUGUGGGGG